RNAcentral lists this long non-coding RNA (1312 nucleotides) under Equus asinus (donkey). Its description in RNAcentral is "lncRNA (ENSEASG00005025746.1)". Lineage: Eukaryota; Metazoa; Chordata; Mammalia; Perissodactyla; Equidae. The record is from RNAcentral.
CCAGGGACAGGAACCACAAGCCCCAGGAGGUCCCCAGAUAAGGGAGGGUCACAGGCAGGGCUAUUGCUGGGGGGCUCCCCGCCCGGCUGGGGCCUCUGGCCAUGGGGCAACGCGGCAGGAACAUCUGAUGCAAGUGGCUGGCCGGGCAGCAGGCAGAGCUGGCUCCACGCUGCAGAAACCUCAGUCAAGCCUUGGAGUCGGCAGGAUAAUGGCCCCCAAAUGCCUCCCAUCCUAAUCCCAGGACCUGUGCACGCAUCACCUCACGGGGCAGAGGGAACUCUGCAGACGGGUUGUGUCAAGGCCCCUGGGAUGGGGGUGACCCAGGAUUCCCAGGGCUGAGGGUCAUCCCAGGGUCCUGAGCAGAGGGAGGCGGGAGGGUCAGGGGCUGAGAUGGAGAUGCUGCGCUGCAGACAGAGGAAGGGGCCCGGAGCCCAGGACACCAACGCCUCUGGAAGCUGGAGAAAGCGCCACACGCUCCUGCCCUGGGGCCUCUGGGAGGACCCGCCCUGCCCCACCCUGGGUUUUAGCUCAAGGAGGCCAGGUCCCACUCCUGACCUCCAGAACUGGAAGAGAAUAAAUUCCUGUCAUUUUAAGCCCCCAAAUCCGUGGCACUUUGUCACAGGAGCCCUGGGAGACUCAGACAGACACUAAGCCUGUGGCAUGCCAGAGUUCCCAUUCCCCAGGUGGGCAAAGUGAGGCAAGUCCAGCCAGGCCCCCAGGAGGCCGACCUGGGCAUCCCGACCAGGGUCCCCUGAUGGGGCUGGGAACAGGGGCGACGCGUUCAGCGGGGGGAGGCCUGGCAGCCCGGACUCCUGGGCCCGGAGCCCGCUGACCCGCCGAAGGCCACGGAGGCGGCGGGUCCUCCUGAGCACGGCGCGGUGCAGGACCAGCUCCGGGAAUGUCCUCCCCCAGGGCUGGAUUUGCUUGUGCCGCUAAGUGGCCCCAGCCGAUGUGCGCCCGGGCGCGUGACCGGCGCCCCUGAACCCGGCCCACCCCGUGCAGCUGGAGGCCAGCGACCCCCGCCAGGCGUGCUGUCUCCGGGGCGCCUCCCCCUCCUCCGCGGGCCGGAUUCCCCGGACGCCCCUCGCCGACUGCCCGGGGUCGCGGGCAGAGGGGACGGCGUGGGGCGCGUGGGCUCAGAGAUGCCGGCCGCACGCCCCGGGGAGCCGCGGCGGCCGCGCCUGCGCACUGGCUCCGGCUCCGGGCCCAGGACCCGCUGGCGGGAGCGGUUGCCGGGGCAACGCGUUUACGUCACCGAACCUGGCGCGGCGCCCGAGCUCCCAGAGUGGGAGGUGGAGCCCUGGCGAUGGGC